This 29-nucleotide non-coding RNA is filed under the name Mus musculus (house mouse). Lineage: Eukaryota; Metazoa; Chordata; Mammalia; Rodentia; Muridae. The record is from RNAcentral.
UGAUAAAUGUCAGGGUUAAGUCUGGUGGU